Molecule: long non-coding RNA, 1795 nt
Organism: Engraulis encrasicolus (European anchovy)
Lineage: Eukaryota; Metazoa; Chordata; Actinopteri; Clupeiformes; Engraulidae
Exons: 4
Source: RefSeq, a predicted model, not a curated record
ACCGUUGCCCAAGGUAGUCUCUACACAAACCUAAACCGUUGGUUACUCUCAAUUACCUAAACCAAUGGAAAUGGAGUCAACUAAUCUAAUCAUAAGAAACAUUGGAAUGAAUCUCGUCUCGAAACCAGAUGGGAUGAAUUUUAAUUUCACGAAACUCGCCUGUAACUUCAAUCUGUGUCCAACCGUCUUUUGGUUUCCACGGUAACUCUCGACACAAAUAACUGGCCGCAGUGCCGCCGCUCUGAAGUUGGUCUCUCGGCGGGCCAAUAUUAUCAACUCUCUGCCGCGAGUUCGCGUGGAAUAAGUAGCACAAAUCAGCACAAGUUAGAGAAAUUAAUAAUAACAACAACGGAAAAUACGGACGUGCCGUGUAUCCCUAUUCAGUUGUACUAAUGCCGCUGGCAUCUGCAGCUCUGCUCAAGCUAUGAAAAAAUGGAAGGAGACGUCCAGGACUGAACAGAGCUGUCACCUGUCACAGUGCAGUGCACCGACUGACUGACGCUAUUUGCUUGGAUGUUGCUGAAAGAAAGGAGGCAUUCUUCAUUGUGCAGCACUAGCCUACUGUGGAGGCCGAGAGAGUUUUGACGAGGCUUCUGUACCCAGGAGGCGGAGGCAGCAAUGCCAGCUUCAAUGCGCACAGUCCUUUAAAAGGGACACCCAGCUAAGAUUUUAUUGCAAAUUCUACACAGAAUGCACUGCUCUUCACAUUUGGUUUUGGAAACACUGUGUAUUAUUGUAAGUGUACACCAGGGGUGGGGAACCUUUUUCAUUUGAAGGGCCACUUCAAAUUACUCUGAGGGCCGUGAAAGUCCUCCGAGGGCCGUACAAUUAACACAAACUAGGAUUUCCCCCUGCACUCUAGGCCUAUAUGGAAUGCAGCCACCUUAAAACAGACCUUAACUUCUAUAUGUCCCCUGAAUAUAACUUUCAUUGUAUUGCAAAUGUUUCUUUUACAAAAUAUGCCAUAUUUCAUAUGAAGCUGCAUAAUAUUAAAAUUGUCUCAGGGGCCGCAAACGGCCCUCCAGACAUAGGUUCCCCACCCCUGGUUUACACCAGCAAAUUCAUGGUGACACUACAAUGACCUCAGCUAUUUGGUUGUUUCUAGUGUUUAGGUACUGUCACAAAGCAGUCUUACAAACACAUUUAUUUAUCUCUGUAUCAACAUUGAGGUUCUCAUAUAACCUUUCCCCAUUCUAUUCCCAAGUAAAAAUGUGCUCAUAGAAACAACUUGAAGGCAUAAUGCCCUUCACUUUCAACAUGGGUCUUCUUUGUAAACUUUGAAAGUGUAUAUUGAAAAAGUAGGCUGUAUUAUUUCUCUAUAUUAGUAAAUAAUGAGUUUUCCAUAAUGUGCAAUGCUUGAAAGUGUUUCCCAGUGUGUUGUUACAAUUUUUCCAUUUUUUGUGUCCAUGUUUUUGAAUAAUAUCCCUUCCUGCCUUUUUUGACUGUAUGAUAACAUGUCUGUUAUAUUGCUCUAUUUUAUAUUUAAAUGCAAUCAUCUUUGUUGUGUGAAAAGUGUGAAAACAAAAUGGGACAAUAAAAUCAAUGUAUUGCACAAACUGGUGUGCUUAUUUUGCACAGCCUGUGUCACAUAUAAUAAGUGAUACAUUUAUUGGGUAAAUUUAACUUCAUAAUUAAGUAAUUUAAACAGAAUAUUGGGGCUGUAUAACCCAUAUAUAGGAUAUGAUGUAAUAACCCAACAAUAAAGUACAUUCAAUAUAACGGUUUGGUUAGAAAUAACCCCACAUUUGAGUUAAUUGUUUUACUCAACCUGUUGGGUUGAAAUUUAUAACCCAAU